RNAcentral lists this ribosomal RNA (254 nucleotides) under uncultured bacterium. RNAcentral describes it as "partial 16S ribosomal RNA". It matches the Rfam family "Bacterial small subunit ribosomal RNA", at positions 524 to 776 of the family's 1533-position model. The record is from RNAcentral.
UACGAAGGGGGCUAGCGUUGCUCGGAAUCACUGGGCGUAAAGCGCACGUAGGCGGCUUCUUAAGUCAGGGGUGAAAUCCUGGAGCUCAACUCCAGAACUGCCUUUGAUACUGGGAAGCUUCGAGUCCGGAAGAGGUGAGUGGAACUGCGAGUGUAGAGGUGAAAUUCGUAGAUAUUCGCAAGAACACCAGUGGCGAAGGCGGCUCACUGGUCCGGUACUGACGCUGAGACGCGAAAGCGUGGGGAGCGAACAGG